AUUGAACGCUGACGGCAUGCCUUACACAUGCAAGUCGAACGGCAGCGCGGGAGCAAUCCUGGCGGCGAGUGGCGAACGGGUGAGUAAUAUAUCGGAACGUGCCCAGUAGUGGGGGAUAGCCCGGCGAAAGCCGGAUUAAUACCGCAUGAGACCUGAGGGUGAAAGCGGGGGAUCGCAAGACCUCGCGCUACUGGAGCGGCCGAUAUCAGAUUAGCUAGUUGGUGGGGUAAAGGCCUACCAAGGCAACGAUCUGUAGUUGGUCUGAGAGGACGACCAGCCACACUGGGACUGAGACACGGCCCAGACUCCUACGGGAGGCAGCAGUGGGGAAUUUUGGACAAUGGGCGCAAGCCUGAUCCAGCAAUGCCGCGUGCAGGAAGAAGGCCUCGGUUGUAACUAGCUUUGUC
This 407-nucleotide ribosomal RNA is filed under the name uncultured bacterium. RNAcentral describes it as "bacterial SSU rRNA". It matches the Rfam family "Bacterial small subunit ribosomal RNA", at positions 29 to 439 of the family's 1533-position model. The record is from RNAcentral.